RNAcentral lists this long non-coding RNA (1267 nucleotides) under Piliocolobus tephrosceles (Ugandan red Colobus). RNAcentral describes it as "lncRNA (ENSPTEG00000011374.1)". Lineage: Eukaryota; Metazoa; Chordata; Mammalia; Primates; Cercopithecidae. The record is from RNAcentral.
AGUGAAUUCUUUAAUGACCAUGAGCUAGAAGACUUUGAAAAUUGUUGUGAAAUAAUACAAUUUACUUAUUUAUUCUUUUUUAUUUUACUAUCGGAUUAUUACACACUUGAUAAAUAUGUUAAACAAUAUUGUAUUGAAAAUUUUAAACAUUUGUUCAUGUAUAAAAAUUAUGUUUUUAAAAAAUAUAUAAAAUACCAAAACGAGAAGAUUGUUAAAAAUGUUAUUCUAAUGGAUACUUAUCAUGAGAACACAUGUGAUAGUGUUAAAAACAAUGACAAUCAUAGUACUAAACCCAAUUGCUACAAAACUAAAUACUACGUCUUUGAAACAAAAAUAAUAAAGUCAUUUUCAAAUGAAAAUAAAAUCGAAUUUGAAAACAUGACAGUGUGUAUAAAUUUGGAUAAACAAAUGUCUUUUCGUUAUGUUUUAUCUUGUUUAACAAAAAUCAAAUCAUAUGAAUAUAUUAAUAAUAAACUUUUUUUAGAAAUAUUUACUGUAUAUGCUUAUAUAAAUCCUGAAAACUCUACAUCAUUAUAUGAUUGUUGUACUACUGUAUCGUUGUUACCUUCUCUUGUGUUUCCCCCUCCGUUUUAUGAUAAUACUAUACAUAAUACAGAUGUAGAACAUACAAUAGUUAAUAAUAUUAGUACACCACCUGUUUCUGUAAAUAGCAAAAUCGAAAUGUUGUCAACAAAAACAGAUAUAUCAAAUAGCAAAUUUCAUUUUAUAUAUGAAAUCGAAAUGCCUAAUUAUAUUUACAAUGCUGAUUAUACAGAAAUAUAUGUUAUCGAAACUAGUAGGAUACAAGAAAAGUGCAACAAUUUUUAUAUGUCUUUUGAACUAUCACAAAUAAAUAAAAUGGGUGAAAAAAAUGAAAUAAAUAAAAUGGGUGAAAAAAAUGAAAUAAAUAAAAUGGGUGAAAAAAAUGAAAUAAAUAAAAUGGAUGAAAAAAAUGAACUAAAUGAACUAAAUAAUGUAUAUGAUAUGAACAAAGCAAAAAUAAUAACUAACUGUGACAGAGAAGUAAAUAAUGAUAGGGUGAUACAUAUCAUGGAUAAACAAACUGUUACUGAUACAAAUAACGAAAUUAAAUUAUUUAAAAUGACAAGUGAAAAAUAUUCAUUAAACGAUAAAACUUAUUUAAAAAUUUAUAGUAAUAAGAUAGGUAAUUUUUACAUUCACUUGAAUACUAUAAACAACAUACCUUACAUAAACUGGGAGCUUAAAUAUGAUGAAAAUAAUGUCAUUAUAAAAAUACAAAGUAGAA